GACGAACGCUGGCGGCGUGCUUAACACAUGCAAGUCGAACGAUGAAGAAGAGAAACGCGAACUUCGGUUCAAAUUUCACUUCGGAUUAGUGGCAGACGGGUGAGUAACGCGUGAGCAACCUACCUCUUACAAAGGGAUAGCCUCGGGAAACCGUGAUUAAUACCAUAUGACACAUUCAUAAGGCAUCUUAAGAAUGUUAAAGCUACGGCGGUAAGAGAUGGGCUCGCGUCCCAUUAGCUAGUUGGUGAGGUAACGGCCCACCAAGGCGACGAUGGGUAACCGGCCUGAGAGGGUGAACGGUCACAUUGGAACUGAGACACGGUCCAAACUCCUACGGGAGGCAGCAGUGGGGAAUAUUGCACAAUGGAGGGAACUCUGAUGCAGCGACGCUGCGUGAGCGAUGAAGGAAUUCGUUUCGUAAAGCUCUGUUCUAUGGGAAGAAAAGGACUGUACCAUAGGAGAAAGCCCCGGCUAAAUACGUG
RNAcentral lists this ribosomal RNA (482 nucleotides) under uncultured bacterium. RNAcentral's name for it is "partial 16S ribosomal RNA". It matches the Rfam family "Bacterial small subunit ribosomal RNA", at positions 28 to 507 of the family's 1533-position model. The record is from RNAcentral.